AUGGCGCCCAAAGAGGGCGCCGAGUACAGCCAGAGGGGCCUAUGGCCUGAAAGAUGCGCUCCUGGCCAAGAACCAGCGGCUGAGGGCCCCUUUCCUUCGCAUCCUUCCCACCCGCCAUUUUGCUGCACACACGCAAAGGCUGCCCCUGCGGCACAGGCACUGCCAUCGGCCUCCUCCCCGCAUCCUGGGCUCCAACCCCCUCCUCAGCCCACGGGCCCGCCCCUYGCCUCCUGCCACGAUGGCACCGCCUGCCUCGCGCUCUCCGGGCAGCCCAAAACGCACACAGCCCUCCACGCGCCCCCCUCACAAGAGAGGCCCAAAGGGCAACUAUCACUUCCCCCACCUGCCCACGGCACUCCACCAGCACCCAGGCUUGCCUUCUCCUCCAGCAACCUCCAGGUGCGCUCGCCACUCCUCUUACACCUGUGCUGCCACCACCACCGCCCCUCAGGGCCUUUUCUGCAGAGCUGCUCCUCAGCCAGCCCAGCCCCAGGCCGCGUGGUGGAGGGGUGCUGGUCCACAGCAGGCACCGGAUCGUGCGUGCCCUCCCCUUCCGCUCCGCGAGGUUUCUGCCAGCACACUUCCCCAGCCUGCGGACACCCUCCCCUCCAGGGCAUCAGACAAUGGCCUUCCCACCCUCCCCACUCUUUGAAGUCACCCACAACCCGGCGGGAGGUGCCCCCUGCUCACCACCUCCACCCAAGCCCUUCCUUCGCACCUUCACCACCAUCAGCCCCAACACUCACCCCAAGCAACACCGUCAGCACCUGCCCCUUGGGGGCGCUUCCUCCUGCCUUUUGCAAGACACUGGCCCAGCCGCCUCGCAGCCCACUUCUCUCCUCCAUGCCUCACCCAGGGGCUACCACGAGGCUGCAGGAGACUCUGUCACGGGCCUUGCUAACCUCCGGGCAAACAACAUGCACUGCUCUCCCCUUGGCCUACGUGGCCACACAGCUCCUCAGUGCUAGCUCCCAGCUGGGGCCCGGCACCGCUCGCCCUUGCACAACCCCCCAGCUGCCUCCCACCACCUCCUCUACGCUGCUGCCAUUUCGCCUCCUUUCCCACCCCARCCAAUGGCACAUUGCCUUUCCAAGGGCAACACAGCAUUYUGCCUCACRGGCAACCAUAGCCAGCUCCCCAUGGCCCUCUGACUUCUUCAAACCUGCUGCAAUGUCGCAGCAACACUGUGUCAGCACACCUGUCACAGCUUACCUGCUCCCCCUUCCCAAGUGCACAACAUGUCACAGCUGA
This 1251-nucleotide long non-coding RNA is filed under the name Apteryx haastii (Great spotted kiwi). RNAcentral describes it as "lncRNA (ENSAHAG00000003711.1)". Lineage: Eukaryota; Metazoa; Chordata; Aves; Apterygiformes; Apterygidae. The record is from RNAcentral.